Cinara cedri is the source of this 249-nucleotide non-coding RNA. The record is from the annotation of a GenBank genome assembly. NCBI's taxonomy places the organism in Eukaryota, Metazoa, Arthropoda, Insecta, Hemiptera, Aphididae.
CAAUGGAAAAUAAUGCAUAAUCGAGAUUUAAAAAUUAAUAAAUUUCAAAGUUAAAUGUUUCAAUAAUGUUAAUCAUUCAAUCUAAAUUUUUUUCUGAUUUUUAUUUACAUCCUUUAUUAUCUAAAAUUGGUAUCUUGUAAUUUUAUUUUAACACAUUUUACAGUUUUGUUUUACAGUUUUACAUGUUAUGUUUAUUGUUUUGGUAUGGUAUACUAAUAUUUAUAGUCUUUGAUUUAUAACUUAUUAAUC